This 312-nucleotide ribosomal RNA is filed under the name Scymnus fuscatus. RNAcentral describes it as "LSU rRNA". It matches the Rfam family "Eukaryotic large subunit ribosomal RNA", at positions 666 to 944 of the family's 3401-position model. The record is from RNAcentral. Lineage: Eukaryota; Metazoa; Arthropoda; Insecta; Coleoptera; Coccinellidae.
CCAAGGAGUCUAGCGUGUGCGCGAGUCAUUGGGAUAACACUAAACCUAAAGGCGCAAUGAAAGUAAAGGUUCGUCUAGCGCGAACCGAGGGAAGACGGUCGGUCCACCGUGGCCGUCCCGCAUUCCCGGGGCGUCUCAUUCUCAUUGCGAGAAGAGGCGCACCAAGAGCGUACACGCUGGGACCCGAAAGAUGGUGAACUAUGCCUGGUCAGGACGAAGUCAGGGGAAACCCUGAUGGAGGUCCGUAGCGAUUCUGACGUGCAAAUCGAUCGUCGGAACUGGGUAUAGGGGCGAAAGACUAAUCGAACCAUC